RNAcentral lists this ribosomal RNA (924 nucleotides) under uncultured bacterium. RNAcentral describes it as "bacterial SSU rRNA". It matches the Rfam family "Bacterial small subunit ribosomal RNA", at positions 8 to 916 of the family's 1533-position model. The record is from RNAcentral.
AGAGUUUGAUCAUGGCUCAGGACGAACGCUGGCGGCAUGCCUAAUACAUGCAAGUCGAGCGGAAUGAUGAGAGCUUGCUCUCUGAUUCAGCGGCGGACGGGUGAGUAACACGUGGGCAACCUGCCCUACAGAUGGGGAUAACUCCGGGAAACCGGGGCUAAUACCGAAUAAACAGUUUGUCCGCAUGGAUAAACUCUGAAAGACGGUUUCGGCUGUCACUGUAGGAUGGCCCGCGGCGCAUUAGCUAGUUGGUGGGGUAAUGGCCUACCAAGGCAACGAUGCGUAGCCGACCUGAGAGGGUGAUCGGCCACACUGGGACUGAGACACGGCCCAGACUCCUACGGGAGGCAGCAGUAGGGAAUCUUCCACAAUGGACGAAAGUCUGAUGGAGCAAUGCCGCGUGAGCGAAGAAGGUUUUCGGAUCGUAAAGCUCUGUUGUAAGGGAAGAACACGUACGGGAGUAACUGCCCGUACCUUGACGGUACCUUAUUAGAAAGCCACGGCUAACUACGUGCCAGCAGCCGCGGUAAUACGUAGGUGGCAAGCGUUGUCCGGAAUUAUUGGGCGUAAAGCGCGCGCAGGCGGUUCUUUAAGUCUGAUGUGAAAGCCCACGGCUCAACCGUGGAGGGUCAUUGGAAACUGGAGAACUUGAGUACAGAAGAGGAAAGCGGAAUUCCACGUGUAGCGGUGAAAUGCGUAGAGAUGUGGAGGAACACCAGUGGCGAAGGCGGCUUUCUGGUCUGUAACUGACGCUGAGGCGCGAAAGCGUGGGGAGCAAACAGGAUUAGAAACCCUGGUAGUCCACGCCGUAAACGAUGAGUGCUAAGUGUUAGGGGGUUUCCGCCCCUUAGUGCUGCAGCUAACGCAUUAAGCACUCCGCCUGGGGAGUACGACCGCAAGGUUGAAACUCAAAUGAAUUGACGG